ACAAUAAGACCAGUCUUGCUUGAACCAUUACCUGUAUCAUAUAGGCUCUAUCUAUUUGUUGAAGCAAUAAAACUAUAGAAAAUUGAUGCACUAAAACUCAAAAUUGAAUAGUAUGGGAUAACAACAUCAGUAAUUUAGAAUAAUGAGCAUUGAACAAUAAAAUGUGCUCACUGUAGUACUAAUUUGUUCGAGUUGAGUGGAUUCACAUGAUCUACGGUGGAACUAGGAGCAUUUAAAUCAAUAACAGAGUACAAAUUCAUCUUUUCAGCG
Molecule: long non-coding RNA, 270 nt
Filed under: Elaeis guineensis (African oil palm)
Lineage: Eukaryota; Viridiplantae; Streptophyta; Magnoliopsida; Arecales; Arecaceae
Description: long non-coding RNA (EGUI_LNC000813)
Source: RNAcentral